Molecule: non-coding RNA, 79 nt
Organism: Podarcis lilfordi (Lilford's wall lizard)
Lineage: Eukaryota; Metazoa; Chordata; Lepidosauria; Squamata; Lacertidae
Source: the annotation of a GenBank genome assembly
GGCUGUAGCUCAGUGAAAGAGCAUCUGCUUUGAAUGCAGAAGGUCCCAGGUUCAGUCUCGGCAUCUCCUAGCAGGGCUG